Molecule: ribosomal RNA, 439 nt
Filed under: Lachnoanaerobaculum saburreum
Lineage: Bacteria; Bacillati; Bacillota; Clostridia; Lachnospirales; Lachnospiraceae
Description: bacterial SSU rRNA
Rfam family: Bacterial small subunit ribosomal RNA
Source: RNAcentral
GAUGAACGCUGGCGGCGUGCUUAACACAUGCAAGUCGAACGAAGCUGUUAAAAGGAAGUUUUCGGAUGGAAUUUUAACAGACUUAGUGGCGGACGGGUGAGUAACGCGUGGAUAACCUGCCUUAUACAGGGGGAUAACGGAGAGAAAUUUCCGCUAAGACCGCAUAAGACCACAGCACCGCAUGGUGCAGGGGUAAAAUAUUAAUAGGUAUAAGAUGGAUCCGCGUCCGAUUAGCUUGUUGGUGAGGUAGAGGCUCACCAAGGCGACGAUCGGUAGCCGGCCUGAGAGGGUGAACGGCCACAUUGGGACUGAGACACGGCCCAAACUCCUACGGGAGGCAGCAGUGGGGAAUAUUGGACAAUGGGGGAAACCCUGAUCCAGCGACGCCGCGUGAGUGAAGAAGUAUUUCGGUAUGUAAAGCUCUAUCAGCAGGGAAGAA